This 340-nucleotide ribosomal RNA is filed under the name uncultured bacterium. RNAcentral describes it as "partial 16S ribosomal RNA". It matches the Rfam family "Bacterial small subunit ribosomal RNA", at positions 338 to 675 of the family's 1533-position model. The record is from RNAcentral.
CCUACGGGGGGCAGCAGUGGGGAAUAUUGGGCAAUGGGCGCGAGCCUGAACCAGCCAAGUCGCGUGAGGGAGGACGGCCCUACGGGUUGUAAACCUCUUUUGCCGGGGAGCAACGGGCGCCACGUGUGGCGUCACUUAGAGUACCCGGAGAAAAAGCAUCGGCUAACACCGUGCCACCAGCCGCGGUAAUACGGGGGAUGCGAGUGUUAUCCGGAUUUAUUGGGUUUAAGGGGUGCGUAGGCGGAUCGUUAAGUCAGUGGUCAAAUUGAGGGGCUCAACCCUUUCCCGCCAUUGAAACUGGCGUUCUUGAGUGGAAGAGAAGUAUGGGGAAAGCGUGGUG